RNAcentral lists this ribosomal RNA (325 nucleotides) under Staphylococcus epidermidis. RNAcentral's name for it is "bacterial SSU rRNA". It matches the Rfam family "Bacterial small subunit ribosomal RNA", at positions 31 to 345 of the family's 1533-position model. The record is from RNAcentral. Lineage: Bacteria; Bacillati; Bacillota; Bacilli; Caryophanales; Staphylococcaceae.
GAACGCUGGCGGCGUGCCUAAUACAUGCAAGUCGAGCGAACAGACGAGGAGCUUGCUCCUCUGACGUUAGCGGCGGACGGGUGAGUAACACGUGGAUAACCUACCUAUAAGACUGGGAUAACUUCGGGAAACCGGAGCUAAUACCGGAUAAUAUAUUGAACCGCAUGGUUCAAUAGUGAAAGACGGUUUUGCUGUCACUUAUAGAUGGAUCCGCGCCGCAUUAGCUAGUUGGUAAGGUAACGGCUUACCAAGGCAACGAUGCGUAGCCGACCUGAGAGGGUGAUCGGCCACACUGGAACUGAGACACGGUCCAGACUCCUACGGG